GACAGAGGGUGCAAACGUUGUUCGGAAUUACUGGGCGUAAAGCGCGUGUAGGCGGCUCUGCAAGUCGGAUGUGAAAUCCCACGGCUCAACCAUGGAAGUGCAUUCGAAACUGCAGGGCUAGAGUUCUGGAGAGGAAGGUGGAAUGCUUGGUGUAGAGGUGAAAUUCGUAGAUAUCAAGCGGAACACCGGUGGCGAAGGCGGCCUUCUGGACAGUAACUGACGCUGAGGUGCGAAAGCGUGGGGAGCAAACAGG
Molecule: ribosomal RNA, 253 nt
Filed under: uncultured bacterium
Lineage: Bacteria
Description: partial 16S ribosomal RNA
Rfam family: Bacterial small subunit ribosomal RNA
Source: RNAcentral